RNAcentral lists this ribosomal RNA (350 nucleotides) under uncultured bacterium. Its description in RNAcentral is "bacterial SSU rRNA". It matches the Rfam family "Bacterial small subunit ribosomal RNA", at positions 8 to 349 of the family's 1533-position model. The record is from RNAcentral.
AGAGUUUGAUCCUGGCUCAGGAUGAACGCUAGCUACAGGCUUAACACAUGCAAGUCGAGGGGCAGCAUGUUGGUUGCUUGCAACCAACGAUGGCGACCGGCGCACGGGUGAGUAACGCGUAUCCAACCUACCCUUGUCCAUCGGAUAACCCGUCGAAAGGCGGCCUAACACGAUAUGCGGUUCACAGCAGGCAUCUAACGUGAACGAAAUGUGAAGGAGAAGGAUGGGGGAUGCGUCUGAUUAGCUUGGUUGGCGGGGUAACGGCCCACAAGGCUACGAUCAGUAGGGGUUCUGGAGAGGAAGGUCCCCCACAUUGGAACUGAGACACGGUCCAAACUCCUACGGGAGCA